UACGUAGGGGUGCAAGCGUUUAAUCGGAAUUACUGGGCGUAAAGCGUGCGCAGGCGGUGAUGUAAGACAGAUGUGAAAUCCCCGGGCUCAACCUGGGAACUGCAUUUGUGACUGCAUCGCUGGAGUGCGGCAGAGGGGGAUGGAAUUCCGCGUGUAGCAGUGAAAUGCGUAGAUAUCUGGAGGAAUACCGGUGGCGAAGGCGGCAUCCUGGACCAAGAUUGACACUGAUGAGCGAAAGCUAGGGGAGCAAACGGG
RNAcentral lists this ribosomal RNA (255 nucleotides) under uncultured bacterium. Its description in RNAcentral is "partial 16S ribosomal RNA". It matches the Rfam family "Bacterial small subunit ribosomal RNA", at positions 524 to 776 of the family's 1533-position model. The record is from RNAcentral.